This 253-nucleotide ribosomal RNA is filed under the name uncultured bacterium. RNAcentral describes it as "partial 16S ribosomal RNA". It matches the Rfam family "Bacterial small subunit ribosomal RNA", at positions 524 to 776 of the family's 1533-position model. The record is from RNAcentral.
UACGUAGGUGGCAAGCGUUGUCCGGAAUUAUUGGGCGUAAAGCGCGCGCAGGCGGUUCCUUAAGUCUGAUGUGAAAGCCCACGGCUCAACCGUGGAGGGUCAUUGGAAACUGGGGGGCUUGAGUGCAGAAGAGGAGAGCGGAAUUCCAGGUGUAGCGGUGAAAUGCGUAGAGAUGGGGAGGAACACCAGUGGCGAAGGCGGCUCUCUGGUCGGUAACUGACGCUGAGGCGCGAAAGCGUGGGGAGCAAACAGG